RNAcentral lists this ribosomal RNA (253 nucleotides) under uncultured bacterium. Its description in RNAcentral is "partial 16S ribosomal RNA". It matches the Rfam family "Bacterial small subunit ribosomal RNA", at positions 524 to 776 of the family's 1533-position model. The record is from RNAcentral.
GACAGAGGGGGCAAGCGUUGCUCGGAAUUACUGGGCGUAAAGGGCGCGUAGGCGGGAUGGCAAGUCGGUCGUGAAAUCCCUCGGCUCAACCGAGGAACGUCGAUCGAUACUGCUGUUCUUGAGGAUUGCAGAGGAGACUGGAAUUCCCGGUGUAGCGGUGAAAUGCGUAGAGAUCGGAAGGAACACCAGUGGCGAAGGCGGCUACCUGGACAAAUACUGACGCUGAGGCGCGAGAGCGUGGGGAGCAAACAGG